Leucoraja erinaceus (little skate) is the source of this 2508-nucleotide long non-coding RNA. RefSeq lists it as uncharacterized. The record is from RefSeq and is a predicted model, not a curated record. Lineage: Eukaryota; Metazoa; Chordata; Chondrichthyes; Rajiformes; Rajidae. The transcript is spliced from 2 exons.
UACCCACCGUGACGUUGCGCGUGACCUGGAUCUGGGCUCAUCUGGUCCCGAACGCGCGGCGUCGGCCGAGUGCAGCUCCGAGUCUCUAUACCCCUUGGCAUCGAUGUGCAAUUUGUAUCGCUACCGCCUGGUGUCUUUUUUUUUUCCAACCGUGCCAAAUGCGAUUAGAUGUCCACCGACUCUUUACCCCAAACUUUCUUUCCAUUUAACUGCAGUCCGAGGGGAGAAUUAGCGAUGACUUCGCAAAGAUGAUUUUCUCACCGCGUCUCUACAGUGGAAACACAAAUAGAAGAUCAAUAAUUUAUAACGAUAAGCAGUACGGCUUAACGUUAGUGUCUAUUCUACUCACAAUGGAAGUCAUUCUGUUUGAAGAAGUUCAAGCUGUUCCAUGGUGGCCAGAGUCAGAAGUUUACCGUUCCAAUUCGUUGGCAACAGAUGCCUGGUCUUCACGUGAAAUCAAGGUUAAUGUCAAAUCUCCCGUUGUAUCAUUCAAAGGGUAAAUGCCAUAUACCUCAUUUCCAUUUGAAAUAUGAAAUGGAUGCAAACUGCAUGGAUAUUCGAAACCCCAAGCUGCUUGACAGGUGUUUGUGGUUAAUUUGCUGAAAGGACUUUACAGAUGGGGAAGAUAGACGCAAAAAGCUGGAGUAACUCAGCGGAUCAGACAGCAUCUCUGGAGAAAAGGCGAAUCUGUUUCCUGAACUUGCACCAGGUUAUAUUAGCUGCAAAAACCACAACCAAAAACCACAUUUGAAAGUGGGCUACAACUGUCUAUGUCGCACAUCAUCAAGAGUCAUUAAUAAUAACACGAUUUCAGCAUUUUACUGGAUUUGUAUGGUUUACAUUAGUUUUUAUCAGAUUUCCUACAUUAUAACAGAACACUGAUUUCCUUGCCAUUAUAUAUUAGUUUUUUUUGUUUAGAGAUACAGCCCGGAACAGACCCUUCGGCCCACCGAGUCCGCACCAACCAGCAAUCCCUGCACAUUAACAUUAUCCAGCUACUAGGGACAAUUUCACAUACACCAAGGCAAUUUACCAACAAACCUGGAUGUCUUUGGAGUAUGGGUGGAAACCGAAGAUCUUGGAGAAAACCCACGCGGUCAUGGGGAGAAGGUACAAACUCCGUACAGACAGUACCCAUAGUCGGGAUGAAACCCCUGUCUCCGGCGCUGCAAACGCUGUAAAGCAGCAUCUCUGUGCCGUUUAUUAACAUAAACAUAAUAUGAAGAUUAUUACAAUAACUUGACAUGCUGAAUUUUGGUGAAAUAUUGGAUACCCAACCACUUUGCCAAACAGUAUUUACAAAGUGAAAGACUUUUCAAUAAUACACUUUAAUUAUACUAUUUAUUCCUCUUAUAUGUAUUUUAAAUAUCAGUUUUCCAUAAAAUUAAGCAAUAUGAAAGAUCUGAUGAAUAAUUAGAAGAUAGAAUAUAUUGAUAAAUGAGGGACAUAUUUCAGAAUUCUUGGCAGUGAAGGAGACACAGAUUAAUGACCUUUUAAAGGAAUAAAUGAUUGAAAUUGAGAGCAUUCCUACCAGCUAUACAUUCCAUUUGCAAAAUACUUUAUCAUGCCCUUUACAUUUAAAUGCAAUAAAAAAAGAUUCUAAGAAUUGAAUCGUGAAACUAUAUGGUGGUGCCUGUCGUCACAAACAUUCCUGUGGAUUGUUGCUUUCUGCCACUUAAUCAAUGUUGUCUCUCUUCCCUCUUCUCUGUCUUCUUUUGUAAACCAGUACACUUUAGUGGAAAACACUUAACAGGUGACAUUUCAGGUCGGGACCCUUCUUUAGACUUCAGUUACCGGUUAAUAAGGACAGUCAGCAUGAAUUUUAAUUACAUUAGUCUGAAGAUGGAUCACAACCCGAAAAGUCACCUGUCUGUCCCCUUCCCAGAUGCUGCCUGACCUGCUGAGCUCCUCCAGCACUUUGUGCUUUGCUCAAGAUUCCUGCAUGUAGUUUCUUGUCGCAAUAUUUCAGGGAACUUUGUCAAAUGUCUUGCAGCAAUCUGUGUAGAUCACAUCAAAUGAUUUACCUUCAUCUUCCCUCCUUAUUAAUGCCUUAUCAUGGUAUCCAAUUAAUCAGUCAUGCUUUUUCUUAAAUUCAUGCUGAUUGUCCUUAUUUGUCCUUGUCAUUCUAAGUAAGUACCGUGUAUUUUUUUUUUCUAAUUGUUAGACAUUGAAGUUACAUUUAUUGGCUUGUAACAACUCAGUUAUUCCUGUCUUCCCUUUGUAAACAACAGUGCUACAUUAGUUCUCCAAUCCUUCAGUCCCAUUCCGGUAACCAGGAUGAAUGAAAAGAUUGUUUUCACAAAUGUUAUCUUUAAAAUACUGUUUGUGACAAUGCACACUUUUGUUUAGAAAAGCACAGCCCCCAGGUAGAACACAGCAGAACAAAUUUCCCGGAAUAUUAAAAAAAAAAAUCUAAUUUACAAAACAGAGUAUUUGAAAUUCAUGGAAAGAUUUCUCUGUGUCACAUAGCAGUCAAUCCAGUAUUAAAGCAUACCAAAUUCUGCAUGC